This 73-nucleotide transfer RNA is filed under the name Camelus bactrianus (Bactrian camel). It matches the Rfam family "tRNA". Rfam says of the family: Transfer RNA (tRNA) molecules are approximately 80 nucleotides in length. Their secondary structure includes four short double-helical elements and three loops (D, anti-codon, and T loops). RNAcentral also lists the same sequence under 3 other names. The record is from Rfam by way of RNAcentral. Lineage: Eukaryota; Metazoa; Chordata; Mammalia; Artiodactyla; Camelidae.
GAGGGUAUAGCUCAAAUGGUAGAGCACAUGCUUAGCAUGCAUGAGGUCCUGGGUUCAAUCCCUAGUACCUUCA